UAGGGAAUCUUCCGCAAUGGACGCAAGUCUGACGGAGCAACGCCGCGUGAGUGAAGAAGGAUUUCGGUUCGUAAAACUCUGUUGUUAGAGAAGAACAGCGCAUAGAGUAACUGUUAUGCGUGUGACGGUAUCUAACCAGGAAGCCACGGCUAACUACGUGCCAGCAGCCGCGGUAAUACGUAGGUGGCAAGCGUUGUCCGGAUUUAUUGGGCGUAAAGCGAGCGCAGGCGGUCAAUUAAGUCUGAUGUGAAAGCCCCCGGCUCAACCGGGGAGGGUCAUUGGAAACUGGUUGACUUGAGUGCAGAAGAGGAGAGUGGAAUUCCAUGUGUAGCGGUGAAAUGCGUAGAUAUAUGGAGGAACACCAGUGGCGAAGGCGACUCUCUGGUCUGUAACUGACGCUGAGGCUCGAAAGCGUGGGUAGCAAACAGG
Molecule: ribosomal RNA, 429 nt
Filed under: Bacteroidota bacterium
Lineage: Bacteria; Pseudomonadati; Bacteroidota
Description: Bacteroidetes bacterium partial 16S ribosomal RNA
Rfam family: Bacterial small subunit ribosomal RNA
Source: RNAcentral